Molecule: ribosomal RNA, 440 nt
Filed under: uncultured bacterium
Lineage: Bacteria
Description: partial 16S ribosomal RNA
Rfam family: Bacterial small subunit ribosomal RNA
Source: RNAcentral
CCUACGGGAGGCAGCAGUGGGGAAUAUUGCACAAUGGGGGAAACCCUGAUGCAGCGACGCCGCGUGAGUGAAGAAGUAAUUCGUUACGUAAAGCUCUAUCAGCAGGGAAGAAAAUGACGGUACCUGAGUAAGAAGCCCCGGCUAACUACGUGCCAGCAGCCGCGGUAAUACGUAGGGGGCAAGCGUUAUCCGGAUUGACUGGGGGCAAAGGGAGCGUAGACGGUGCGCCAAGUCUGGAGUGAAAUGCCGCGGCUGAACUGCGGAACUGCAUUGGAAACUGGCGAACUUGAGUGCGGGAGGGGUAAGCGGAAUUCCUAGUGUAGCGGUGAAAUGCGUAGAUAUAAGGAGGAACACCAGUGGCGAAGGCGGCUUACUGGACCGUAACUGACGUUGAGGCUCGAAAGCGUGGGGAGCAAACAGGAUUAGAUACCCCAGUAGUC